This 712-nucleotide long non-coding RNA is filed under the name Triticum aestivum (bread wheat). RNAcentral's name for it is "long non-coding RNA (TAES_LNC005951)". Lineage: Eukaryota; Viridiplantae; Streptophyta; Magnoliopsida; Poales; Poaceae. The record is from RNAcentral.
ACGGCCGCCGUGCCAUGUCUUCCAGAGGUCUGGUCGCUGCAACAAAGAGCAUUGCUCCUAUUCCCAUACGCCAGGAGACGAGGGAUAUUCACAGAGAAACGAUCGCCACUUUGAUAGGCGGCCUUCGAGCAACGAGAGACCUCAGCAUGACAGGCGGCCUUCGAGCAACGAGAGACCUCAGCAUGACAGGCGGCCUUCGAGCAACGAGAGACCUCAGCAUGACAGGCGGCCUUCGAGCAACGAGAGACCUCAGCAUGACAGGCAAAACGAUAAACAUUUUGAUCGUCAAGUGUCAGGCAGCGAGAGGCAGCAGGAUAGGCCCAACAGCAGGCAGAGCGGCUGGGAUGGCUGGGAUAACGGUGGGAAGGCUGAUAGGUCAGAAUCAAAAGAGGGGCAGUAGAACCAUGGGGGCUUCUUCUUCUGGUCCGUUCUCCUGUUUUGUUGUAUGCAGUAGCUAGCCUGCGUGUUUCUGAACCUACCUACCUGAUGCGCUGUAGCGAUUAGCAUCCUGCCCAAACUGUCAUGUGAUAGAAGAAUUGUAGCUUAAAGCAUCAUGUGCAUCCUACUCUUGUGUUUUCUUUCUUGCCUUGGAACCAAACCAAUACAUUUUCUGAAUAAAUCCUGAUGUCGGAGAUGCAAGGGCUUGAGGUAGGUCCUGUUGUAAUGUUGCUUGAGCUGCUGCUGCUGUGUCUGUAUGCAUUCUCGUUGGGUG